This 138-nucleotide small nucleolar RNA is filed under the name Ornithorhynchus anatinus (platypus). The record is from RNAcentral. Lineage: Eukaryota; Metazoa; Chordata; Mammalia; Monotremata; Ornithorhynchidae.
CCCUUCGCAGGAUGGCACCUGGAGAGUUUCCAGUCCUCUACCAGUCUCGGUUAUGGGAGGGAGAGUCAAGCAGAGGCAUAUCCAUUCCAUUCCUAGCUUGGGCAGUGGCUAGCGAGUGGAAGGUAAUCUCCUACAAGU